GCCUCAGUAGCUCAGUGGUUAGAGCGGUCGGCUGUUAACCGAUAGGUCGUAGGUUCGAGCCCUACUUGGGGCGCCA
Molecule: transfer RNA, 76 nt
Filed under: Lupinus luteus (yellow lupine)
Lineage: Eukaryota; Viridiplantae; Streptophyta; Magnoliopsida; Fabales; Fabaceae
Description: tdbR00000301
Rfam family: tRNA
About the family: Transfer RNA (tRNA) molecules are approximately 80 nucleotides in length. Their secondary structure includes four short double-helical elements and three loops (D, anti-codon, and T loops). Further hydrogen bonds mediate the characteristic L-shaped molecular structure. tRNAs have two regions of fundamental functional importance: the anti-codon, which is responsible for specific mRNA codon recognition, and the 3' end, to which the tRNAs corresponding amino acid is attached (by aminoacyl-tRNA synthetases). tRNAs cope with the degeneracy of the genetic code in two manners: having more than one tRNA (with a specific anti-codon) for a particular amino acid; and 'wobble' base-pairing, i.e. permitting non-standard base-pairing at the 3rd anti-codon position.
Source: RNAcentral